This 194-nucleotide unclassified non-coding RNA is filed under the name Thaxterogaster scaurus. RNAcentral's name for it is "partial internal transcribed spacer 2". Lineage: Eukaryota; Fungi; Basidiomycota; Agaricomycetes; Agaricales; Cortinariaceae. The record is from RNAcentral.
AUAUAUCAACCUCUACAACUUUUGUUUGUUGAGUUGUUGGAUGUGGGGGCUUUGCUGGCUUCUCUCUCUGAGGUCAGCUCCCCUGAAAUACAUUAGCGGAAUGAUCUCCGUUCAUUGGUGUGAUAACUAUCUACGCUAUUGACGUGAAGUACUUUGGCUUAUAACAGUCCAUUGACUUGGACAAAUUUUCAUUA